This is a long non-coding RNA of Hermetia illucens (black soldier fly), 590 nucleotides long. RefSeq lists it as uncharacterized. The transcript has 3 exons. NCBI's taxonomy places the organism in Eukaryota, Metazoa, Arthropoda, Insecta, Diptera, Stratiomyidae. The record is from RefSeq and is a predicted model, not a curated record.
AUAAAGUCUACUAAGGUAGAGUAGAAUUCAUGCUGCUACCGCCGCUAAAUUUGCCGAAACUUUCAAGAAGAUUGAUUGCUUUGAGUUUGGUUUGCAAUCAAGCAUUUUUACGAUGCUAAACAAUUGGGAAUAUUUUCAUUUUGGCAUAGACUCGAAAAAAGGAGAAAAAAAUUAGACAGUUUUAGGUUGCAGGCAAUCUAUCGGUUGUUGUUGCUUUUAUGUUUAUUUUGCUUGAAGUUAAUCAACUUUUCCAGCAAUCACUUGAUGGGAAGGGUAUUGGUUUAUGUGUUGCAUAUUCUCGGCUCAUAUAACUUAUUUUCGACAUACCAUACAUGCGGAUGGAUUAGUUUACCUGCAUCAGAUUCUUGAUUAAACACCUGUGAAACAUGUUACCAGUUGAUCUUACCAGAUCUGAUUGAGCACGGACAUGGUAAAGUGCAGUCCAGGUUUUCCCAAUUAAUAUUCAGAAGUGCAUUGAGGAGUUGUCUUACUUCAUAAGAGAUAAUGUUUCAGAUUUCGCUACUGGGGAUUACUUCCUGAGGCGAAGGCGAAUAAAAGGUUUAAAAGUGUGAGGACCAAGGAGCGGACGU